CCUACGGGAGGCUGCAGUAGGGAAUAUUGCUCAAUGGGGGAAACCCUGACCCAGCAACGCCGCGUGGAGGAUGAAGGUAUUCGUAUUGUAAACUCCUUUUGUUAGAGAAGAUAAUGACAGUAUCUAACACCUAAGCACUGGCCCCCUCCGUGCCAGCUGCCGCGGUAAGACGGAGGGGGCAGGCGUUACUCGGAAUCACUGGGCGUAAAGCGUGAGGAGGCGGGAUAGGAAGUUAGAUGUCAAAUCCUAUGGGUUAAACCUAGAAGUGCAAUUGCAACUGUUAUUCUAGAGUAUGGGAGAGGUAGGUGGAAUUCUGGGUGUAGGGGUAAAAGCCGUAGAGAUCAAGAGGAAUACUCAUGGCGAAGGCGGCCUGCUGGAACAUAACUGACGCUGAUGCGCGAAAGCGUGGGGAGCAAACAGGAUUAGAUACCCGUGUAGUC
RNAcentral lists this ribosomal RNA (440 nucleotides) under uncultured bacterium. RNAcentral's name for it is "partial 16S ribosomal RNA". It matches the Rfam family "Bacterial small subunit ribosomal RNA", at positions 338 to 795 of the family's 1533-position model. The record is from RNAcentral.